CCGUAGGUGAACCUGCGGAAGGAUCAUUACGGUGAGGUGGGCCCCAGGGGCCCGCACUUCCGUCUUAUUCCUUGCGUGUGGGGGCCUCCUGGGGGGGUGGCGGCCCCUCNGGGCCCAACCUCCCACCCGUGUUGCCCGAACCUAUGUUGCCUCGGCGGGCCCCGCGCCCGCCGACGGCCCCCCUGAACGCUGUCUGAAGUUGCAGUCUGAGACCUAUAACGAAAUUAGUUAAAACUUUCAACAACGGAUCUCUUGGUUCCGGCAUCGAUGAAGAACGCAGCGAAAUGCGAUAACUAAUGUGAAUUGCAGAAUUCAGUGAAUCAUCGAGUCUUUGAACGCACAUUGCGCCCUCUGGUAUUCCGGAGGGCAUGCCUGUCCGAGCGUCAUUGCUGCCCUCAAGCCCGGCUUGUGUGUUGGGCCCCCGUCCCCCUCUCCCGGGGGACGGGCCCGAAAGGCAGCGGCGGCACCGCGUCCGGUCCUCGAGCGUAUGGGGCUUUGUCACCUGCUCUGUAGGACUGGUGGGCGUUGGUCACCUCUUAUUCUUUCUACGGUUGACCUCGGAUCAGGUAGG
RNAcentral lists this ribosomal RNA (571 nucleotides) under Penicillium citrinum. RNAcentral describes it as "eukaryotic LSU rRNA". The stretch from base 233 to 386 matches the Rfam family "5.8S ribosomal RNA". Lineage: Eukaryota; Fungi; Ascomycota; Eurotiomycetes; Eurotiales; Aspergillaceae. The record is from RNAcentral.